RNAcentral lists this unclassified non-coding RNA (435 nucleotides) under uncultured Roccellaceae. Its description in RNAcentral is "sequence contains ITS1". The stretch from base 1 to 104 matches the Rfam family "5.8S ribosomal RNA", at positions 50 to 154 of the family's 154-position model. The record is from RNAcentral. Lineage: Eukaryota; Fungi; Ascomycota; Arthoniomycetes; Arthoniales; Roccellaceae.
UAAGUGCGAUAAUUAAUGUGAAUUGCACAAAUUCGUGAAUCAUCGAGUCUUUGAACGCAUCUUGCGCUUUCGGGACAACCGAAAGCAUGGCUGUUUGAGUGUCGGAAAUAAACUCUUAUCAUCAUGAUGAGGAAGUGAGGUUCAGAGGCUUCGCCAGUGCUUGCUGUGCCGUAGACAGUCGUCUACCGCAGCAUCGCCGGUACGAGUCUGUACCUUGAAAUGCAGACACCGAAAGUCUCGCUGUGCUUUCACAACCUAAAGUGAGGUAAAAGACAGUCGUCUUUCAAUCACUGAUGGGCCUGUGUUAUCUGCCGGCUUGACGUGAACUUUGGUUAAGCGGACGUGCUGGUGUGCUGCAGCUGUGGCUGCCACGCUUUGUAGCCGUUCAUUCUCAAUAACGACCUCAAAUCAGCCAAGAAGACCCGCUGAACUUAA